CCUACGGGUGGCAGCAGUGGGGAAUAUUGCGCAAUGGGCGAAAGCCUGACGCAGCGACGCCGCGUGAGGGAUGAAGGUCUUCGGAUCGGAAACCUCUGUCAGCAGGGAAGAACGGUCAAUGGGCUAAUCAGCAGUGAAUUGACGGUACCUGCAAAGGAAGCACCGGCUAACUCCGUGCCAGCAGCCGCGGUAAUACGGAGGGGGCGAGCGUUAAUCGGCAUUACUGGGCGGAAAGCGCUCGUAGGCGGUAUGUCACGUCACGGGUGAAAUCCCCGCGCUCAACGUGGAAACUGCCUUUGAAACUGGCAACCUGGAUUGUGUUAGAGGAUAGUGGAAUUCCAGGUGUAGGCGU
Molecule: ribosomal RNA, 352 nt
Filed under: uncultured bacterium
Lineage: Bacteria
Description: partial 16S ribosomal RNA
Rfam family: Bacterial small subunit ribosomal RNA
Source: RNAcentral